Lutra lutra (Eurasian river otter) is the source of this 148-nucleotide long non-coding RNA. RefSeq lists it as uncharacterized. The record is from RefSeq and is a predicted model, not a curated record. Lineage: Eukaryota; Metazoa; Chordata; Mammalia; Carnivora; Mustelidae. The transcript is spliced from 3 exons.
UGGGGAUUCUCUCUGUGGUGGACGGGUCCACUGGUUGUCACUAACACAUAUAUCAUGUGUCCACCAUGACAGUAUCAUACAGAACAGUCUCACUGUCCUAAAAGUGCUGUGCGGACCUCAGUUUUACCAUCUGUAAAAUGAGUGUGAA